UCCGCGUCCCCCAGAGAAGGGCCUGAGCGCAGCCUCGCCCCCAGUGCCCACAAUGUCACCCCACCCCGGCUGUAUCCGCUGUCACCCCGCCUCGGGAACGCGCCCGGCUCCGGGGUGCGGCCCCACGUCGCGGAAGUGUGGGGGGGGGACGCCGCUGACUCACCCCGGCGUCAGCCGCCUCGGGGGCCUCCCGCGGCCGCCUGUGACCACCUGUGACCGCCUGUCGCCCUCCUCAGGUCGCCCCCGGCGCCUCGGCCCGACCCCGCAGCACCGAGGCGGCGCCCGAUGUCCCCUCGGAGCCGCCAGCGUUCGACGCCGCCUCGCGCUACAAGGACAAGCCCUGGGAGUACCUGGAGACGGAAGAGUACCAGGCCACGUACGGCGACAAACCCGUCUGGUUCGGCUACCGCCGCAACCACAAAGGCUCCGUGCCGCCCCAGAAGACGCGCAAGACCUGUUUGCGCAAGGGCAAGUCGGUGGGAAACCCCUGCCCCAUCUGCCGCGACCGUAACCUCUUCCUGGAUUUCCGGAACGUGAAGCUCUUGGACCAGUUCAUCUGCCCUCACUCGGGCGUCGUCUACCACCCCACGUACACAGGUGAGGCCGGCGCCCUUGGGUGCCAUCGGGGUGCUGCCGGGGCGCCGCGGCCGCCGCUCUCACCCGUCCCCUCCCUCCUU
Molecule: long non-coding RNA, 677 nt
Filed under: Apteryx haastii (Great spotted kiwi)
Lineage: Eukaryota; Metazoa; Chordata; Aves; Apterygiformes; Apterygidae
Description: lncRNA (ENSAHAG00000009132.1)
Source: RNAcentral